This 492-nucleotide ribosomal RNA is filed under the name uncultured bacterium. Its description in RNAcentral is "partial 16S ribosomal RNA". It matches the Rfam family "Bacterial small subunit ribosomal RNA", at positions 29 to 507 of the family's 1533-position model. The record is from RNAcentral.
AGUGAACGCUGGCGGUAGGCCUAACACAUGCAAGUCGAACGGCAGCACAGUAAGAGCUUGCUCUUACGGGUGGCGAGUGGCGGACGGGUGAGGAAUACAUCGGAGUCUACUUUUUCGUGGGGGAUAACGUAGGGAAACUUACGCUAAUGCCGCAUACGACCUACGGGUGAAAGCAGGGGAUCUUCGGACCUUGCGCGAUUGAAUGAGCCGAUGUCGGAUUAGCUAGUUGGCGGGGUAAAGGCCCACCAAGGCGACGAUCCGUAGCUGGUCUGAGAGGAUGAUCAGCCACACUGGAACUGAGACACGGUCCAGACUCCUACGGGAGGCAGCAGUGGGGAAUAUUGGACAAUGGGCGCAAGCCUGAUCCAGCCAUACCGCGUGGGUGAAGAAGGCCUUCGGGUUGUAAAGCCCUUUUGUUGGGAAAGAUAAGCAGCAGGUUAAUACCCCGCUGUUCUGACGGUACCCAAAGAAUAAGCACCGGCUAACUUCGUG